GCCGGACAAGGAGGCACAUGCCUGUAAUCCCAGUGGCUCGGGAGGCUGAGACAGGAGGAUCACAAGUUCAAAGGCAGCCUUAGCAAAAGUGAGGCACUAAGCAACUCAGUGAGACCCUGUCUCUA
RNAcentral lists this small RNA (125 nucleotides) under Marmota monax (woodchuck). Lineage: Eukaryota; Metazoa; Chordata; Mammalia; Rodentia; Sciuridae. The record is from RNAcentral.